UACGGAGGGGGUUAGCGUUGUUCGGAAUUACUGGGCGUAAAGCGCGCGUAGGCGGGUUAGAAAGUUGGGGGUGAAAUCCCGGGGCUCAACCUCGGAACUGCCUCCAAAACUGCUAGCCUAGAGUUCGAGAGAGGUGAGUGGAAUUCCGAGUGUAGAGGUGAAAUUCGUAGAUAUUCGGAGGAACACCAGUGGCGAAGGCGGCUCACUGGCUCGAUACUGACGCUGAGGUGCGAAAGUGUGGGGAGCAAACAGG
RNAcentral lists this ribosomal RNA (253 nucleotides) under uncultured bacterium. Its description in RNAcentral is "partial 16S ribosomal RNA". It matches the Rfam family "Bacterial small subunit ribosomal RNA", at positions 524 to 776 of the family's 1533-position model. The record is from RNAcentral.